AUUGAACGCUGGCGGAAUGCUUUACACAUGCAAGUCGAACGGCAGCACGGGUGCUUGCACCUGGUGGCGAGUGGCGAACGGGUGAGUAAUACAUCGGAACGUACCCUGAAGUGGGGGGAUAACGUAGCGAAAGUUACGCUAAUACCGCAUAUUCUGUGAGCAGGAAAGAGGGGGAUCGCAAGACCUCUUGCUUUAGGAGCGGCCGAUGUCGGAUUAGCUAGUUGGUGAGGUAAAGGCUCACCAAGGCGACGAUCCGUAGCGGGUCUGAGAGGAUGAUCCGCCACACUGGGACUGAGACACGGCCCAGACUCCUACGGGAGGCAGCAGUGGGGAAUUUUGGACAAUGGGCGCAAGCCUGAUCCAGCCAUGCCGCGUGAGUGAAGAAGGCC
RNAcentral lists this ribosomal RNA (389 nucleotides) under uncultured bacterium. RNAcentral's name for it is "bacterial SSU rRNA". It matches the Rfam family "Bacterial small subunit ribosomal RNA", at positions 30 to 416 of the family's 1533-position model. The record is from RNAcentral.